This is a long non-coding RNA of Notothenia coriiceps (black rockcod), 1605 nucleotides long. RefSeq lists it as uncharacterized. The transcript is spliced from 2 exons. Lineage: Eukaryota; Metazoa; Chordata; Actinopteri; Perciformes; Nototheniidae. The record is from RefSeq and is a predicted model, not a curated record.
CAUGUAGCUUUAGUGUAAAAAUAAUAAAUAAAACACAUUUUCAUGCAUUUUGUUGUAUUCCUUCUGAAGGCUGUAGUUGUUUAACUAAAUAUUUCCUCCCUGGUUGUCCAGAGGAGGGCAGCAGGAGGAGCUGCUUGUUGAUGCUGAGGAAGCUGCUCCUCGCUUCUGCAUCUGAGAGGAGGAAGAGGAGGAGGAGGAAGAGGCUCCAACUUCCUGUAUGUCUCAGCUGAGUUCAGCCUCUCUCUCCGGGAGGCUUGUGGCUCUGCAGACCGGGGAGGAGGAGGCUUCUGUGGGGGGUGUCUGAAGGGGGAGCUCCGUGCACCAGCAGCCCGUAAAUGUGGAUUAUUUUUGGGUUAAAUCGUUCCUGCUUCACCCGCCUCGGCGCAGCAGCUUCCCCGCGGAUAGAGUGAGAAGAGCCGGGUUGCUGGCCCUGGUUCUCGGCCUUCAGCACCAUCACCCUCCGCCUGCUUGAGUGUGAUAGAGAAGCCGCUAAAAGGCUGUAGGAGCACCGGUAGUCUGCUGCACCGACCCUCGCUGCAGAGAGACCCGGGGGGAGGACCGGAGACCCGGGGAGAGCAGAGGAGAGGAGCCGUGCAUGGUGCUCCGAGCACCGGGGAGAGGAGGACCCAGAGAUGGCUGUCCUCAAACUGGCCGAGCAGGUUCGGUGUUCCGUUAAAAUGAGGACAGCCCACUUCACUUCCUGCUCGGUCUACUUCCGCAAAGCAUCACAGCUGCACACCACAAAUACCCUCACUUAUGAAGAUGCAGAUUUAUCUUUCAAAGUGCAAACAUUCAUGCAGCAGACCUCCAAACGCAUGCAUUUCUGAUAAGAUGUCAUGCCAAGGAGACAUAUUUGAGAACCUCAAGGUCUAUUUAUCUGCUCUGUAGCUUUGGCUUGUGUCACAUGAUACUUCUCAGUAGUUUCAAUCUCCCUUUUGCACUGGAAAGACCGCACAGUGUGCACAAAAAGAAACAUUUCAAUCUGUUGAAAAAGAUGGUGUGACACUGUGAAGCUCCAAAGCAGCUACUAAAGGAAUAUUAUUGCACAUUUUGUUCAAGCCAUUUCAAAAGUGGAAUGUAAAACUGCAUAUCUAGCAGAUCCUGAUUAGAUAGUAUAUUAUUUAUUUAUAGAAUCAAUGAUUGCUUUGUUUCUAACGUGUGAGAAAAUAGUGAAAACUAGGAUUAGACUAAUUAUAACUAGUAAAAUACUACUCUAUUAGACAAAGUCCUGUAUUUCAGGUCUGCAACUAACAAUUAUUUUGAAGGUGAUGUCUAUAAAUGUCCUGUUUUGUUCUUCAGAACAGAUAUAUAUUACUUUAAUGUGAUUCUAAACACAGAAAAGCAGGAAAUCUCUGUAUUUGAGAGGCGAAAUAAUAGUAUUUUCUGGCUUUUUUGCUUGAAAAACAACUAAAUCAUUGUUAUUAUCUGUAAAAAAAUCAACUUAUCGAUUAGUCCACUUAUCAAUGCAGCUAUCCUGUAUUUAGAGAAGCAAAAUGUACUUACUCCAUGAUAAGUAAAAGUAAUCAUAGCAAUUAUUUAUCUUGCAUUUGUCCCUUUCAGUGUUUUUCUGUAUAAUAAAUUUGAUGUUUUGGGUGCACCAUAUUC